Aethalodelphis obliquidens (Pacific white-sided dolphin) is the source of this 1773-nucleotide long non-coding RNA. RefSeq lists it as uncharacterized. Lineage: Eukaryota; Metazoa; Chordata; Mammalia; Artiodactyla; Delphinidae. The transcript is spliced from 2 exons. The record is from RefSeq and is a predicted model, not a curated record.
UACUGGGCCACCAGGGAAGCCCCCAUCCUGUUUUUUUUUAAACCCAGAAUUGUGAGCUAUUAGCUGUGGGACUGUUCACAGGUCUCCCAGCUGCAGCGUCACCUGGGGAAAUGAGUAACUUGGAUGUUUGGACAGAAAACACACACUUGUCUUCUUGCCAGGAUCACAGAGUCCUCACUGCCUGAGAUCUGGGCCAAAGCUCACGCAUCUCUGCUUCACUCCUCCUGGAUCCCACCCACGUUCAAGGCCAAGGUUGAUCUCCCCCUCUUUUUUUCCUCCACUCCUUCCUGGCCAUCUGCUUUCCGUCUCUAACCUCUGUGUGUCUGUUAGAACUCCUUCAGCUAAAAGCUCUGGAAUCAAAGGAAGAGCUGGAGGAACCCGGGGAAGCCCUGGGACCUCAGGGAAGGCAGGUGUGGCCUUGACGCUGCCCUCUCUCAGCCCCUUAUCACUUUCUCUGGCUCCUUCAAGUGGCAGAAGUUGUGGCUCAACACCAAAGAGAGGAGGGAGGGUCUGACCUUCUAACUUCCACAGAAACAUCCUAUGGAUGGGCUUCAGGCCCCCAGCAGGGGCACAGACCCACUCCUGCACUCACCUCUGGGGAAGAAGAGGGAUGCUAUGACUGGUCACUCUCUUCACUCACCUCCUUACUCUCAUCUGCCUAUAACCCAGGCUCCACGGAAUAAUAUUUGGAAAAUGGAAAUCGAUCUUAUCACCUCCCUACUUAAGAUCCUCCAAUCACUUCCCAUUCCACUUAGAAGAGAAUCCAGGAGUUUGGUCCUGGCCUAGAAGACCACAGGAUCUGUGACGUCUCCACCUCCAUCUCCUACUUUCUCCCCUCCUACAGUUCAGCUACACUGGCACCUUCUUGCUCAUCCUCAGAUACAACAAACUCCUACCUGCCCCAGGGCCCUGGUACUUGCUCUGUCUGGAGUGCUCUCCCCCUGGAGCCUCCCAUGGCUGGCUCCUUCCCUGCUAACAUGUCACGACCCCAGAGAGGCCUUCCCUAAUCACCUGUGUUCCUCCAUCACCCUCAAUCCCCUUACCUUGCUUUAUUUUCAUCACAGCACAGAUUGCCAUCUGCAUCUCUCACAAUUAUUUAUCUACUUGUUUACAGCUGUCUCCUCCGACCAGAACAUCCGCUUUAGAGCCCAGGGACCUGUUCUCCUUGUUCAUGGGUGUGACCCAGCCCAGCACCUGGCACAUAACUAGUGCUCAACAAAUGCUUACUGUAAACAAUGAAUCCAGACCUGGAGGUGAGGCGGCUUAGGAAGGCUGGGCCAUGGAAGUGGCACACCCACUGGCAGGCAGCUGGAUCCAGGAGAUAAGCGGGCCUAAGGCUUCGACAGGGCAUGAAAUGAUGAUCGGCUUACACAGCUCCAGAGUUAAAGCAGAGAAGGUGGGGACACAGAUUUCUGAGGUCUUCAAUGAAACAGCUGAAGAUCAUUGUCCUAGCUUUUUGAUGAAGUGGAAAGAAUUUGGAAUGUGAAUCAGAGCAACUGGGCUUGAUCCCAGAGCCCUUCUUCUGUCCUUUGUUGCACAUGCACUUGCUGAAGCCCUUGGUGGUCGAGGCAUCCGGGAUGCCCAGGUGGGCGGCACCACUUUCAGUCGGGGACUGUGACUUGGGUCCAGGUUUUUAGCCUCCCUCAGCCUCCCUCUCCCCUUCUGUAAAUAGGCAAUGACACAGACCCCUCUCAGGGAGAAUGGGGAAAUGUAAGAAGUGGAAACAGCACAUGGGGCACUUACGUGGUCAAAAUAAAUCUUGCAGAGUCAGUG